AUUGAACGCUGGCGGCAUGCUUUACACAUGCAAGUCGAACGGUAACAGGUUAAGCUGACGAGUGGCGAACGGGUGAGUAAUGCAUCGGAACGUGCCCGGUCGUGGGGGAUAACGCAGCGAAAGCUGCGCUAAUACCCCAUACGAUCUAAGGAUGAAAGCAGGGGACAGUAAGGCCUCGCGCGAUCGGAGCGGCCGAUGUCAGAUUAGGUAGUGGGUGGGGUAAAGGCUCACCAAGCCAACGAUCUGUAGCGGGACUGAGAGGACGACCAGCCACACUGGGACUGAGACACGGCCCAGACUCCUACGGGAGGCAGCAGUGGGGAAUUUUGGACAAUGGGCGAAAGCCUGAUCCAGCAAUGCCGCGUGCAGGAAGAAGGCCUUCGGGUUGUAAACUGCUUUUGUACGGAGCGAAAAGGUCUCCUCUAAUACAGGGGGCUCAUGACGGUACCGUAAGAAUAAGCACCGGCUAACUACGUGCCAGCAGCCGCCGUAA
This 493-nucleotide ribosomal RNA is filed under the name uncultured bacterium. RNAcentral describes it as "partial 16S ribosomal RNA". It matches the Rfam family "Bacterial small subunit ribosomal RNA", at positions 29 to 523 of the family's 1533-position model. The record is from RNAcentral.